GCCUGUUCUAUGCUACUGAAAACGAACACACAGAGAUGUCUGUGUCAGGCAUUCAGCGCAGCCGCCAUCGCUGGGAACAAAUCCGUAGCAGCUGAAGAUGAAAAUAGCUUCCACGGCACUUAGAAUGGAAAUCCAAGCUUCCCUUUGGUACGGGAAAGGAGUGUUCGUUGCCGCUUCGACAAACAAACGGGGGGCCUAAGGUGCCACAGAUAGAGACUGCGCCUGUCUGCUUCAUAAUUUCGUGACUUUGUUCUGUGGGGAAGGGAAGAAAAGGCUUCGCCUGUGUUCUCCUGAGUGGGUUUAGGAGAAAAAAGCGACAGUUCAUAUC
RNAcentral lists this long non-coding RNA (328 nucleotides) under Salvator merianae (Argentine black and white tegu). RNAcentral describes it as "lncRNA (ENSSMRG00000022872.1)". Lineage: Eukaryota; Metazoa; Chordata; Lepidosauria; Squamata; Teiidae. The record is from RNAcentral.